AAGUCGUAACAAGGUUUCCGUAGGUGAACCUGCGGAAGGAUCAUUACCAAAUUUGCUUGCUUGGAUGGAGUAAUCCGUUCUGCAACAAAACCCCCUCUGCGUACCUGUACACUGUUGCUUCCGUCGGCCUGCGGGUCGCGGCGCCGCUCCGGCGGUGUCUGCGGUCCCCUCCGGUGCCUGACCGAGACUGGUCGGCUGGGGAGCUGCCGGCGGUAAGCCAAUGUCUAAACUCUGUAUUAUUAUUUGAUAUAGUCUGAGCUUUAUUGCUACAAACAUAAACAAGUUAAAACUUUCAACAACGGAUCUCUUGGUUCUC
This 316-nucleotide unclassified non-coding RNA is filed under the name fungal sp. RNAcentral describes it as "partial internal transcribed spacer region". The stretch from base 1 to 46 matches the Rfam family "Eukaryotic small subunit ribosomal RNA", at positions 1786 to 1831 of the family's 1831-position model. The record is from RNAcentral. Lineage: Eukaryota; Fungi.